AUUGAACGCUGGCGGCAGGCCUAACACAUGCAAGUCGAGCGGAUGAAGGGAGCUUGCUCCUGUCUUCAGCUGCGGACGGGUGAGUAAUGCCUAGGAAUCUGCCUUGCAUUGGGGGAUAACGUCCGGAAACGGGCGCUAAUACCACAUACGUCCUGAUUGAGAAAGUGGGGGAUCUUCGGACCUCACGCUAUCAGAUGAGCCUAGGUCGGAUUAGCUAGUUGGUGGGGUAAAGGCCUACCAAGGCGACGAUCCGUAACUGGUCUGAGAGGAUGACCAGUCACACUGGAACUGAGGCACGGUCCAGACUCCUACGGGAGGCAGCAGUGGGGAAUAUUGGACAAUGGGCGAAAGCCUGAUCCAGCCAUGCCGCGUGUGUGAAGAAGGUCUUCGGAUUGUAAAGCACUUUAAGUUGGGAGGAAGGGCAGUAAGUUAAUACCUUGCUGUUUUGACGUUACCAACAGAAUAAGCACCGGCUAACUUCGUG
This 484-nucleotide ribosomal RNA is filed under the name uncultured bacterium. RNAcentral's name for it is "partial 16S ribosomal RNA". It matches the Rfam family "Bacterial small subunit ribosomal RNA", at positions 30 to 507 of the family's 1533-position model. The record is from RNAcentral.